AUUGAACGCUGGCGGAAUGCUUUACACAUGCAAGUCGAGCGGCAGCACGGGGGCAACCCUGGUGGCGAGCGGCGAACGGGUGAGUAAUACAUCGGAACAUGCCCAGUCGUGGGGGAUAACACUUCGAAAGAAGUGCUAAUACCGCAUACGUCCUGAGGGAGAAAGCGGGGGAUCGCAAGACCUCGCGCGAUUGGAGUGGCCGAUGUCAGAUUAGCUAGUUGGUGGGGUAAAGGCCUACCAAGGCAACGAUCUGUAGCUGGCCUGAGGGGAUGAUCAGCCACCCUGGGGCUGAGACCGGGCCCAGGCCCCUAGGGGGGGCCGAGGUGGGGAAUUUUGGAAAAGGGGGGGAACCCUGACCCAGCCACUCCGGGGGGGUGAAGAAGGCCCUCGGGUUGUAAAGCUUUUUGGGCGGGAAAAAAAGGGGGGGCUUUAAAAUAGCUUGCUAUUGCCGGUACCUGAAAAAAAAGCCCCGGCUACCUCCGG
RNAcentral lists this ribosomal RNA (483 nucleotides) under uncultured bacterium. RNAcentral describes it as "partial 16S ribosomal RNA". It matches the Rfam family "Bacterial small subunit ribosomal RNA", at positions 29 to 506 of the family's 1533-position model. The record is from RNAcentral.